UGUCCCAUGGCUUAGUUGGUUACGGCGUCCGACUGUUAUACCAUGUAAUCGUUCCUAUCGAUAUACAUCGGAAGAUCGAGAGUUCAAGUCUCUCUGGGACAG
Tephrocybe rancida is the source of this 102-nucleotide non-coding RNA. The record is from the annotation of a GenBank genome assembly. Lineage: Eukaryota; Fungi; Basidiomycota; Agaricomycetes; Agaricales; Lyophyllaceae.